RNAcentral lists this ribosomal RNA (452 nucleotides) under uncultured bacterium. RNAcentral's name for it is "bacterial SSU rRNA". It matches the Rfam family "Bacterial small subunit ribosomal RNA", at positions 340 to 786 of the family's 1533-position model. The record is from RNAcentral.
UACGGAAGGCAGCAGUGGGGAAUAUUGCACAAUGGGCGCAAGCCUGAUGCAGCCAUGCCGCGUGUAUGAAGAAGGCCUUCGGGUUGUAAAGUACUUUCAGUCGUGAGGAAGGUGUUAAGGUUAAUAACCUUAGCAAUUGACGUUAGCGACAGAAGAAGCACCGGCUAACUCCGUGCCAGCAGCCGCGGUAAUACGGAGGGUGCGAGCGUUAAUCGGAAUUACUAGGCGUAAAGGGCACGCAGGCGGUUAAUUAAGUUGGAUGUGAAAUCCCCGGGCUUAACCUGGGAAUGGCAUUCAAGACUGGUUAGCUAGAGUCUUGUAGAGGGGGUAGAAUUCCAUGUGUAGCGGUGAAAUGCGUAGAGAUGUGGAGGAAUACCGGUGGCGAAGGCGGCCCCUGGCAAAGACUGACGCUCAUGUGCGAAAGCGUGGGGAGCAAACAGGGAUUAGAUACC